Molecule: long non-coding RNA, 874 nt
Organism: Panthera uncia (snow leopard)
Lineage: Eukaryota; Metazoa; Chordata; Mammalia; Carnivora; Felidae
Exons: 3
Source: RefSeq, a predicted model, not a curated record
UGUGUGGCUGGUCCCUGGAGCCGUGUUGGUUCCCCACGUCCUUCAAACUCCAGUUUCAGUCCACGUGUAACCUUUCUGCAAAGCCCUCUCUACGUUAGGUGCCCUCAGUGAGACUCCUCCUUUCUACCCAAAGACCCUGACUCACAGGAGCAAGAUGGAAACUGAGCAGGACACAGGAAGUAGAAGCACGGAGAAGCAGCAGCCCGGAGAAGCCAGAGCAGAAGGCGGCAACUCCCAAAAUGUGCCGAAGUGAGGGGAAUGGUGAAACAACACAGAAUGACCAUGGACAGUUGUACAGGAUAACAGGAAGGAAAACGCGGGGAGCUAGUUACCAGCACACUGCUGCCUCCAGGCUUCCUAUAGCUGCCAGUCUCAGUUUUGCCUCAAUGUUCCCUGAUUGGUAUCUCUUUUUACCACCCUGUAACCAAUUCACUGCACUACAUUCUAUUUUACAUGAGGACUACUUUCUGUUUUCCUGGUGGGACCGUGAUUGAUGUGCCAACGAUGAUAUCCUCAAGAGCUGUGUGCCAGCUCCCUUGUGAGAGGACCGGAUGUCCUUAUCAAAAGGGGAAAAUGUGGACAGAGACAGAGCAUACAUGCCCUGUGAAGACUGGUGUUACACUGCCAUGGGCCAAGGAACUACCACAAACUAGGAGGCGGCCCGUAACACAUCCUUCCCAGUGCCUUCAGAGGGAGCACGGCCCCUCCCAAAACCUGGACAACACAUCUUCUUAACAAAUCUGGAGAACAGAGCUGUGGUUGACGGGUUACUCUUCUGUCUGCCCCCAGCCCCCUUCCCCCUUCCACUGCUGUGAAAUCCACUGUUUUAAAGUUGAAACCAAAGCAACCUUGAUAGAAAUAUAAAACACCACAA